AUGCACGCUGGCGGCGUGCCUAAUACAUGCAAGUCGAGCGAACAGACGAGGAGCUUGCUCCUCUGACGUUAGCGGCGGACGGGUGAGUAACACGUGGAUAACCUACCUAUAAGACUGGGAUAACUUCGGGAAACCGGAGCUAAUACCGGAUAAUAUAUUGAACCGCAUGGUUCAAUAGUGAAAGACGGUUUUGCUGUCACUUAUAGAUGGAUCCGCGCCGCAUUAGCUAGUUGGUAAGGUAACGGCUUACCAAGGCAACGAUGCGUAGCCGACCUGAGAGGGUGAUCGGCCACACUGGAACUGAGACACGGUCCAGACUCCUACGGGAGGCAGCAGUAGGGAAUCUUCCGCAAUGGGCGAAAGCCUGACGGAGCAACGCCGCGUGAGUGAUGAAGGUCUUCGGAUCGUAAAACUCUGUUAUUAGGGAAGAACAAAUGUGUAAGUAACUAUGCACGUCUUGACGGUACCUAAUCAGAAAGCCACGGCUAACUACG
This 494-nucleotide ribosomal RNA is filed under the name uncultured bacterium. Its description in RNAcentral is "partial 16S ribosomal RNA". It matches the Rfam family "Bacterial small subunit ribosomal RNA", at positions 29 to 505 of the family's 1533-position model. The record is from RNAcentral.